This 262-nucleotide long non-coding RNA is filed under the name Lathyrus oleraceus (garden pea). RNAcentral describes it as "Pisum sativum (pea) long non-coding RNA (PSAT_LNC028050)". Lineage: Eukaryota; Viridiplantae; Streptophyta; Magnoliopsida; Fabales; Fabaceae. The record is from RNAcentral.
AUGAGAUCAUGUCCUUCCUACAAAAAGAGUUAGAUAAAAAGACAUAUUUUUUGGUUUUUUAGUUAGUAAAAUGAUAAUAUACAAGUAUGAUAUCUCCCAAAACAAACCCAAUGAAAGAGGGGUAAGGAGGAUGCCAAGAUAUGAUCCCAAUGCUUAUGCUUAUGAUGGAAUUGCAUGAGGGAUCUUAGGGUCAAAAUUGGGGUAUUACAACAUCACAACCAUCAUGGUCAUGUUCACAGUCACUCACCAAACAGAUAUCUUU